UACGUAGGGUGCGAGCGUUAAUCGGAAUUACUGGGCGUAAAGUGUGCGCAGGCGGCCGAGCAAGUCGAGUGUGAAAGCCCCGAGCUUAACUUGGGAACUGCGCUCGAAACUACUUGGCUAGAGUGUGGCAGAGGGAGGUGGAAUUCCACGUGUAGCGGUGAAAUGCGUAGAGAUGUGGAGGAACACCGAUGGCGAAGGCAGCCUCCUGGGCCAACACUGACGCUCAUGCACGAAAGCGUGGAGAGCAAACAGG
Molecule: ribosomal RNA, 253 nt
Filed under: uncultured bacterium
Lineage: Bacteria
Description: partial 16S ribosomal RNA
Rfam family: Bacterial small subunit ribosomal RNA
Source: RNAcentral